CGGCGAGUGAAGCAGCAAUAGCUCAAAUUUGAAAUCUGGCGUCUUCGACGUCCGAGUUGUAAUUUGUAGAGGAUGCUUCUGAGUAACCACCGACCUAAGUUCCUUGGAACAGGACGUCAUAGAGGGUGAGAAUCCCGUAUGCGGUCGGAAAGGUGCUCUAUACGUAGCUCCUUCGACGAGUCGAGUUGUUUGGGAAUGCAGCUCUAAAUGGGAGGUAAAUUUCUUCUAAAGCUAAAUAUUGGCCAGAGACCGAUAGCGCACAAGUAGAGUGAUCGAAAGAUGAAAAGCACUUUGGAAAGAGAGUUAAAAAGCACGUGAAAUUGUUAAAAGGGAAGGGAUUGCAACCAGACUUGCUCGCGGUGUUCCGCCGGUCUUCUGACCGGUCUACUCGCCGCGUUGCAGGCCAGCAUCGUCUGGUGCCGCUGGAUAAGACUUGAGGAAUGUAGCUCCCUCGGGAGUGUUAUAGCCUCUUGUGAUGCAGCGAGCGCCGGGCGAGGUCCGCGCUAGGAUGCUGGCGUAAUGGUCGUAAUCCGCCCGUCUUGAAACACGGACCAAGGAGUCUAACAUCUAUGCGAGUGUUCGGGUGUCAAACCCCUACGCGUAAUGAAAGUGAACGGAGGUGAGAACCGCAAGGUGCAUCAUCGACCGAUCCUGAUGUCUUCGGAUGGAUUUGAGUAAGAGCAUAGCUGUUGGGACCCGAAAGAUGGUGAACUAUGCCUGAAUAGGGUGAAGCCAGAGGAAACUCUGGUGGAGGCUCGCAGCGGUUCUGACGUGCAAAUCGAUCGUCAAAUUUGGGUAUAGGGGCGAAAG
RNAcentral lists this ribosomal RNA (810 nucleotides) under fungal sp. BG26. Its description in RNAcentral is "eukaryotic LSU rRNA". It matches the Rfam family "Eukaryotic large subunit ribosomal RNA", at positions 87 to 929 of the family's 3401-position model. Lineage: Eukaryota; Fungi. The record is from RNAcentral.